CAGAGUUCAUGCCCUUCGGGGUAGACCUCCCACCCUUUGUAUACAUACCAUUGUUGCUUCGGCGGGCACGCGCGUGGCUGGCUUCGGCCGCCGCGCGCCCGCCAAAGGACCCCUAACUCUGAUAUAUUGUGUCGUCUGAGUACUAUAUAAUAGUUA
Molecule: unclassified non-coding RNA, 156 nt
Filed under: uncultured fungus
Lineage: Eukaryota; Fungi
Description: sequence contains ITS1
Source: RNAcentral